Molecule: ribosomal RNA, 524 nt
Filed under: uncultured bacterium
Lineage: Bacteria
Description: partial 16S ribosomal RNA
Rfam family: Bacterial small subunit ribosomal RNA
Source: RNAcentral
GACGAACGCUGGCGGCGUGCCUAAUACAUGCAAGUCGAGCGCAGGAAACUGACGGAACUCUUCGGAGGGAAGGCAGUGGAAUGAGCGGCGGACGGGUGAGUAACACGUAAGGAACCUGCCUCAAGGAUUGGGAUAACUCCGAGAAAUCGGAGCUAAUACCGGAUAGUUCAACGGACCGCAUGGUCCGUUGAUGAAAGGCGCUACGGCGUCACCUUGAGAUGGCCUUGCGGUGCAUUAGCUAGUUGGUGGGGUAACGGCCCACCAAGGCGACGAUGCAUAGCCGACCUGAGAGGGUGAUCGGCCACACUGGGACUGAGACACGGCCCAGACUCCUACGGGAGGCAGCAGUAGGGAAUCUUCCACAAUGGACGAAAGUCUGAUGGAGCAACGCCGCGUGAGUGAUGAAGGUUUUCGGAUCGUAAAACUCUGUUGUAAGGGAAGAACACGUACGAGAGGGAAUGCUCGUACCUUGACGGUACCUUACGAGAAAGCCACGGCUAACUACGUGCCAGCAGCAGCCGCCG